UAAAAAAAUAAUUUUGCUGAGAGAUUACUAUGUAAUUUUUGACAUAAUAACUUGGAAAGCAUCCAAAAAAGUUGAGUAGCAUCGCUAUAAGACAACUUUCAUUCAUAUAUGAACAAGUCUUCUAAGUAUUGAUAUGGUUUGGAUCUGUGUCCUCACCCAAAUGUCAUGCUCAAUUGUAAUCCCAAAUGUUGGAGGUAGGGCCUGGUGGGAGGUAUUGGAUCAUGGGGGUGGAUUCUUCAUGAAUGGUUUAGCACUAACCCUUCGGUGAUAUAGAGUUUUCCUGAGAUCUGGUUAAGUGUGUGGCAGCUCCCCUCUCUCUUCCUCCUGCUCUGGCAGUGUAAGACACCUCCUCUCCCUUAGUCUUCUGCCAUGACUGUAAGUUUCCUGAGACCUUCCUGGA
Molecule: long non-coding RNA, 400 nt
Filed under: Homo sapiens (human)
Lineage: Eukaryota; Metazoa; Chordata; Mammalia; Primates; Hominidae
Description: non-protein coding lnc-EFCAB9-1:1
Source: RNAcentral